RNAcentral lists this long non-coding RNA (1093 nucleotides) under Capra hircus (goat). RNAcentral's name for it is "lncRNA (ENSCHIG00010026180.1)". The record is from RNAcentral. Lineage: Eukaryota; Metazoa; Chordata; Mammalia; Artiodactyla; Bovidae.
AUUUUGGAGCCGAGAAAAAUAAAGUCUGACACUGUUUCCACUGUUUCCCCCAUCUAUUUGCAUAAUCAAGUAUAGUGCAAUAAAACAAAAUAUACCUGCAGUGUUCGCAGUCUUUCUGAUCACAGUAGGAGAUCAGUAAAUGGAAACCUAUUACCACCACUACCCUCACUGCUGAGACCACUACUGUUUGGCUGAACCCAGCAGGUUUUAUGGCUGCCCAGCCUCAAGACAAAAGAACAGCUCAGGGACAGUGACAAACAUCCAUGGUUUAGUAGAUGGGGGAUCUUAUACAUCAGGAGCAAGUCCUGGAGCUAUGCUCCAGUAUGCCUGGCAGGCAGCAAGCAGGACAUAGCUGUUUUCACUAUUAAAGGAGGCUAUGAUUUUUUGAAGGAAUUGGUAUUAGCUUGGCUCAUCAGCUACCAAGGAAAGCAGCUCCCAGGACACAUUCCCAGCCCCUCAAGUUAAUGACCAUCACUAGGUAAGGUGUUUCCUUUUAGUAAUUCAGGAGGUGGAGCCAUUCUGACUUAAGGGCUAGGGGGCAAGCACAUUCAUGUGAGCAUGGUGUAGGUGAAGCAGGGACUGGUUGAGCAGGGGACAUACGGGGCAAGAGAAGAGCCAUUUUGAGAGACCUGACCUAACACUCACCGCAACGUACCCUGCACAACCCUUAUAAUUGUGUUUUUCCCUUCUUCCAUGGAGGGGGUCAGGUGUGUAGAGGUGGACUGCAACCAAAUAUCACAAAUGCAANNNNNNNNNNNNNNNNNAAAGAAGAUCAAGAACAAAAGUUGGCAAUGGUCCUUCCCCAGUGGAACUUGGAUUGUGUUGACGAGUUGCCAUGCACUAGGACUAUUUCUCCAAGGAUGAGUCCGUAUUUUGAGAGAACAGGUUUCCCAUCUCAAUUUUUGUCGAAGUAUCCUGGCAGCAGUGGAUUAUAAGGUAGGUGGAAAUGGCAAAGUAUGCCACUUUUAUUAUUAUUAUUAUUAUAGUUGCUUUACAAUGUUGUGCAAUUUUCUGCUGUCCUGCAAAGUAAAUUAGCUAUAUAUAUACAUAUAUCACUUCCCUCUUGAAUCUCCCUCCUAUGCCCACCUCCAAC